GUUUCAAAAUAGUGCCUCUACGU
Molecule: non-coding RNA, 23 nt
Filed under: Arabidopsis thaliana (thale cress)
Lineage: Eukaryota; Viridiplantae; Streptophyta; Magnoliopsida; Brassicales; Brassicaceae
Source: RNAcentral